CUACGGGAGGCACCAGUGGGGAAUAUUGGACAAUGGGGGAAACCCUGAUCCAGCAAUGCCGCGUGUGUGAAGAAGGCCUGCGAGUUGUAAAGCACUUUCGGUUGGGAGGACUGCUUCUAGCACUAAUAUUGUUGGAAGUUGACGUUACCUUCAGAAGAAGCACCGGCUAUCUCCGUGCCAGCAGCGCGCGGUAAUACGGAGGGUGCAAGCGUUAAUCGGAAUUACUGGGCGUAAAGCGCGCGUAGGCGGCUAGAUCAGUCGGGUGUGAAAGCCCCGGGCUUAACCUGGGAACUGCAUCCGAUACUGUCUAGCUUGAGUACAGGAGAGGAGAGUGGAAUUCCACAUGUAGCGGUGAAAUGCGUAGAUAUGUGGAGGAACACCAAUGGCGAAGGCAGCUCUCUGGCCUGAUACUGACGCUGAGGUGCGAAAGCGUGGGGAGCAAACAGGAUUAGAUACCCGGGUAGUC
RNAcentral lists this ribosomal RNA (466 nucleotides) under uncultured bacterium. RNAcentral's name for it is "partial 16S ribosomal RNA". It matches the Rfam family "Bacterial small subunit ribosomal RNA", at positions 339 to 795 of the family's 1533-position model. The record is from RNAcentral.